Molecule: long non-coding RNA, 2381 nt
Organism: Dendrobium catenatum
Lineage: Eukaryota; Viridiplantae; Streptophyta; Magnoliopsida; Asparagales; Orchidaceae
Exons: 2
Source: RefSeq, a predicted model, not a curated record
GAAGUGUGUAUGUAAUUAAAAUCUCAUAUCAAAUAAUGAGAUUUCAUUUAGAUAGAUUUUGGUUUAUGAUCGGAAGGAAUUUAUGCACAUGUGAAUAAUUUUGUAAGAAAUUGUAUAUGUAGAAUUUGCAAUGAAACUUUUUUUUUUUUUAAGUUCAAUAAUUACAAGCACCAUAUGCAAUUCAUAAUUUUCAUACUUAUCGUAGUUGGAUAGUUAUUUUUCCUAUAUCAUGUGUAUAUCAACGAUAAUAAAAUAUCACAAAUGUGAUUUGCUUGCAUUUUGAGAAUCGUGAAUAGGUAGAAGAUUUAUGAUGUGUAGUUGUGCCCCAAUGUAUGUAUACAUGUAUAGUUAUGUGAAGAUGCCUUGAUUACCUUCAUGUAUGAGUUUCACUUGUUCUAUGUCUUGUUGUGAUUUAUCGUCAGAGAGUGACAUUGCAUCUUAUGAAUGAAACCUAGUGAAGUAUCCAUGUAAAUUUUAUGAUUCAUGAUUAAUUAGAAGUAUGUUUGACAUCAUAUAAUGAAUAGGUUUACAACUGUCUAGGAAACUCCAUCUAUUUAAUGUUUUGACUGCAAGCGCUAAGCACGUAUAGAAACAAUUCAAGGUGUAUCAAAGUUGGAAUAUGAUAUAGGCAUGAAUGAGAAAAUUUUGUAAUCGGAUGAGAUUCAUUAUAUACAUAUGCAUACAAACUUUGCGAUUAAAUCUCAUUUGUUAGCUUCAAUGAAUUAUGAGCAUCAUAUAUGAUUCAUUAUUCUCGCGCUCAUGUGUAAUUAGAUGAUUGUAUUCCCUCAAUUGUGUAUAUGUCAUUCUUCUCUUAAAAUUUCAAAUGCCAUGUGAGUACCUAGAGUUAUCAAUGAUAAAUAUCACUAAAAAUGAUUUUGGAACAAAUAAUUUCUUGAAGUAUAAGUUAGAGUUAUGAUUUAUCAUGUGUUGUUAGGGUGGCAUUUACAUGUAUAUAAUAUACAUAAACUCAAUUUUGUUUAUAAUCUACCUCAUUUAGCAUGUAGUUUAGAUGUAUCUUCGUUGGGUUGAUAAUAAUGGCUACAUGUAAACACAUUUAAAUUUCCUAUGUUUCAUGUGUAUGUUAGUAAACCCUCACAUACUUUAUGCACAAUCCUCCUCCAUGUUUUAUAUUGGUAAACUCUAAUAUUAUUUUAUGUAUAGACAUAUGUGCCAUAUUAGCGAGCUCUCCUGUGUUUCAUUAAACUCCCAUGUGUUCUAUGUUUUGUUAUCUUUCAUAUUCUAUGAUAAUGAGUCUCCAUAUCAUGUGUUAAUAGAUCUUUCACAUGGUCUAUAUAGUCAUUCCUCGUGUUGCAUGUUAGAAAAUUCUUUUAUUAUUAUUAUUUUUAUAGUGAUAUGCAUAUGUUAUAUGAAUAUAAAUGUUAGAUUGUUUAUUUUUCAUAUUCUUGUUUACUUGCAUUUCUUUAUGAAUAGUCUCUACGCUCACUUUCUAUUUGCUCCUUUUCUAUUAUUUGCGAGGUACAUUGGAGCUAUUUGGACAAACAAGUGCGAGCAUCAGUCACCCCCAUUCAUUCCGGUGGGGGUGCUACGGGCGGAACCACCGGGUCAUAGCCCCCGGUGUAAAUUUGAUAUUAACCAUCCGAUCAUCUUUUGAAGGGAUGAUGGUCUCUUGAUUUUUAUAAUAGCAUUAGGCGUUGGUUUUUAGGGAGGAUUCCACGAUCAAUCAAUUCUCAGAAGCAGCCACCCCUUUGGAGAUACCUCCUACCCAUUUCGGAGCUGCUAGAGCCGGGCAAGCUCUCCUCGUGAUUCCAGCUGCUACCUCCUUGUCUCAAGCCGUCCAAGCAAGAGGAAGAAGAAGAAGGUCUAUGAAUAGAACCGUCCAUCGUUUUCCUUGUACAGCAGAUUUCAACCAGCUUCUUUAGCAAAUUUCAGCUGUCCACCUCCAAUGUCCUUGCCCUGCCGUGAAACCUCUUCAACAAACAGACUAAGCAGCUCCUCUUUCUAAUAUCCAGAGCUGCUGUCCAUUAACGAAGAGAGAAAGAAGGCUUGCUUGCUGUUCGUUUCUUUUGGAAGAAGACAUGAAGGAAGUUGACGUUUGCUUUGUCACGGUCACAGCAACUUAAGGCAACUCAUUCUAUUCAUUUUCUCUAAGUUCAAGCAAAGGAGAGGAAGGGACCAGCUGGCCGGCCAUACAUGUAGCAGGAUAUUCCCUUCUUUCCACGAUCUAUCCUUCUAAAUUUGGAAGAAGGUUUGCUUGAUUUCUCUUGAAAGUUAAAUAGCAUGUACAUAUUUUUAUCAUGUAAUUACUAUAGGAUUAAACAAGUUUUCUCACUGUUUUUGUGAGGAUUUUGUACAGACUUUUAUCAUAUAAAUAUUCUUGAAUCAAUCAAGUUUUCUCACUGUUUUUGUGAGGAUUUGGCACA